This 125-nucleotide small RNA is filed under the name Yersinia pestis. RNAcentral's name for it is "RtT sRNA". It matches the Rfam family "RtT RNA". From Rfam's summary of the family: This family represents a bacterial cis-regulatory element known as RtT RNA. The exact function of RtT is unknown although it is thought that it may be involved in changing the cellular response in relation to amino acid starvation. The record is from RNAcentral. Lineage: Bacteria; Pseudomonadati; Pseudomonadota; Gammaproteobacteria; Enterobacterales; Yersiniaceae. RNAcentral also lists the same sequence under 1 other name.
UAAAUUAUCAAAACGAGCAUCAGAACCGAGUGGUCGGAAGUUCGAGCCGAGCGUAGCGAGACAACGUUGCUUUAGCAAGGCCCGUAGGGCGAGGCGUAAGCCGAGUCAUCUUCCUGGGUGCACCA